Molecule: long non-coding RNA, 536 nt
Filed under: Mytilus galloprovincialis (Mediterranean mussel)
Lineage: Eukaryota; Metazoa; Mollusca; Bivalvia; Mytilida; Mytilidae
Source: RNAcentral
GUAAAACAGGGGAGGGUUUUUUACAUGUCGCGCCGUAUCUCAAAAACCAUUUAUGAUUAUUGCUUAAAAUUUUACACACUUCUUUGUUAUAUUAAUCUAAAGAUCUGUAUACUUUUUGGUGAUGAUUAAAAAUUUUAUUUUUGAGUUCUUGAGUAUUUUGUAUAACAGGGGAGGUUUUUUUUACAUGUCACGCGGUAUCUCAAAAAUAAUUUAUGAUUGUUGUAUUAAAACUUUACACACUUUUUUGUUAUAUUAAUCUAAAGAUCUGUAUACUUUUUGGUUUUGAUUCAAAAUUUUAUUUUAAUGAUAUUUAGUUUAAAAAAAAAAAAAAAAACAGGGUGGGGGGUUUCACAUGUCCCGCCUUGUCUCAAAAACUAUAUAUGGUUAUUGCUUUAAACUUUCUCAGAAACUAUUUAUGAUUAUUGCAUAAAACUUCCACACAAGACGUCGGCUUAUCAUGCGCUCAUGGCGCAGCUGUUUAUUGAAUUUAGUAUUGAUUCAAAAACAAGAAUAUGUGGUAUGAUUGCCAAUGAGAC